AAGAGACACUUUAAAGCUCAUAUGGUAGCAUCAAUAGAAAAAAAGGUUACUAAUAUAUCACUAGAGAGUCUUUUAGGCAGUAACUGUAAGACAGCAUAUAAAAUUGUUUUUAGUUAUUUGGCAGAUAUGGGUAUUUUAGAAUAGGAUUUAGUUGUUCAUGCCGUUCCACACUCCAACCCAGCAGGUGGCGAUAAUGCACCUUAAGUUAGCUUGCAAACAAUAAAUCAAUAAACAUCAUAAUAAAAAGAAGAGACACUAAUAUAUAGCACAAACUCAACAGACAUCCAAUAACAUAUACAAGAGACUGCAGAACUGUUUUGGGAGUGCUUGGGGAGAAAAACGAUUUAAUAAAUAGAGGAAAAAAAGGUCACUGUGUUCUGGCUGCCCUGCGAUGAAGAUCCUUAGUUUACAAUCUUUCCACUUCUUCCUGGUGGUGAGGAUGUAGGGGAGUAGCAGGGCCUGCAUAAGUUCCCAACCGAAUCUGAGCUGUAAAAAGAAGAACUCCCCCCAAAACCUUAGCAAAUGUAAACAAACAGAAGAAAGUGGCCAUAGGUGAAAAAUGGCAGUUGGAAAAAACAUUAACAGAAUGGUGUAACAGUCAGCCAAAAUGUAUCCCCUCUGACAUGCAUCGUUGUGUCCCUCACCCCAGCCUGCCUGACCAAAAACCCAGGACAGACGGAUGAACAACAUGACACCCCAGAUGUUCAGCAUGCAUCUCACCUGUGGAGAAGAAGAACAGUUUACUGUAAAUCUUCAGUGUGGGUUAUGAUUUAAUAUGGUGUCAAGUGAGAAAUGUGUACUUGAACUUAGAGAAGUUAUAACCAUAGUUUUUAUUUCAAUGAUGACCCAAACAACUAAAGCUUUUAAAAAACUAAACUACUUAAAAUGAAGCCUCUUCAUGCCAGAUCCAACUAUAUAGAGCGAUCUUGCUUCUAUAAAGCAGAGGGAGCGUAUCAUGACCCAGCGUAACUCACCAGGACACCCCUUAUCCAGCCAAACUUUACAGUUCCUUCCCCACUGUCAGUAGGAAGGACAGACUCA
This is a long non-coding RNA of Monopterus albus (swamp eel), 1041 nucleotides long. RefSeq lists it as uncharacterized. Lineage: Eukaryota; Metazoa; Chordata; Actinopteri; Synbranchiformes; Synbranchidae. The record is from RefSeq and is a predicted model, not a curated record. The transcript is spliced from 3 exons.